RNAcentral lists this ribosomal RNA (103 nucleotides) under Clostridioides difficile. The record is from RNAcentral. Lineage: Bacteria; Bacillati; Bacillota; Clostridia; Peptostreptococcales; Peptostreptococcaceae.
CAGAGAGGAUACACCUGUUCCCAUUCCGAACACAGAAGUUAAGCUCUCUAGCGCUGAUGGUACUUGGUGGGAAACUGCCUGGGAGAGUAGGACGUAGCCACGU